UACGGAGGGUGCAAGCAUUAAUCGGAUUUAUUGGGCGUAAAGGGCGCGUAGGCGGGUUAGUAAGUCAGAUGUGAAAUUCCGAAGCUCAACUUCGGAGCUGCAUUUGAAACUAUUAGUCUAGAGGAUUGGCGGAGAAAAUGGAAUUCCACGUGUAGCGGUGAAAUGCGUAGAUAUGUGGAAGAACACCUGUGGCGAAAGCGGUUUUCUAGCUUAUUCCUGACGCUGAGGCGCGAGAGCAAGGGGAGCAAACAGG
This 253-nucleotide ribosomal RNA is filed under the name uncultured bacterium. RNAcentral describes it as "partial 16S ribosomal RNA". It matches the Rfam family "Bacterial small subunit ribosomal RNA", at positions 524 to 776 of the family's 1533-position model. The record is from RNAcentral.